This 1481-nucleotide ribosomal RNA is filed under the name human oral metagenome. RNAcentral's name for it is "bacterial LSU rRNA". It matches the Rfam family "Bacterial large subunit ribosomal RNA", at positions 1051 to 2512 of the family's 2925-position model. The record is from RNAcentral.
AAAUACUGCUUGAGUGUGAAAUGAAGUGUGGAUACAAAGACAGCCAGGAGGUUGGCUUAGAAGCAGCCAUUCCUUAAAAGAGUGCGUAAUAGCUCACUGGUCGAGUAUACAUGCGCAGAUAAUGUAACGGGGCUAAGCAGUAUACCGAAGCUACGGGUCUUAUGCAUUAUAAGCAUAAGGCGGUAGGGGAGCAUUCCAUGGACUGAUGAAGGUGUACCUGAGAGGGGCACUGGAGGGGAUGGAAGAGAGAAUGCAGGUAUAAGUACACGAAAAGAAAGGUGAGAUUCCUUUCCGCCGAAAACCUAAGGUUUCCUGGGUAAAGGUCAUCUGCCCAGGGUUAGUCGGCCCCUAAGGCGAGGGCGAAAGCCGUAGUCGAUGGGAAAUCGGUUCAUAUUCCGAUACCUUUUAUAAUUUCGAUGGCAGGACGCAUGAGGCGACCCCCGGCCGGAGAACGGUUGUUCCGGUCGAAGUUUUCAAGCCGUUAUGAAGGAUAGUAGGCAAAUCCGCUAUCCAAGGUGAGAAGCGACAGCGAGUGGAUCGAUGAGAGAAGCGAAGCGGGAGUAGUCAUGGUGCCGGGAAAUACUGUCUAAGGCUAGGUUAUAAAAGACCGUACCGUAAACCGACACAGGUAGGUAGGAUGAGAAAUCUAAGGCGCUCGAGAGAACUCGCGUUAAGGAACUCGGCAAAAUGCACACGUAACUUAGGGAAAAGUGUGGCCUCUGUUUAGUAAUGAGUGGAGGUAGCAUAAAGCAGGCCCAGGCGACUGUUUAUCAAAAACACAGCCAUCUGCGAAUCAGUAAUGAGACGUAUAGGUGGUGACACCUGCCCGGUGCCGGAAGGUUAAGAGGAGCGGUGAGCAGUAAUGCGAAGCUGUCAAUUGAAGCCCCGGUAAACGGCGGCCGUAACUAUAACGGUCCUAAGGUAGCGAAAUUCCUUGUCGGGUAAGUUCCGACCCGCACGAAUGGUGUAACGAUUCUGGGCACUGUCUCAACGCGAGACUCGGUGAAAUUUAUAUACCGGUAAAGAAGCCGGUUACCCAUAGUUAGACGGUAAGACCCCGUGAACCUUCACCGUAACUUACUAUUGGGACUUGGUUUAUCAUGUGUAGAAUAGGUGGGAAACUGUGAAGCUUGCUCGUUAGGGUGAGUGGAGUUGAAAGGUGAAAUACCACCCUUGAUGAAUUAGGUUUCUAACCUGUUCCGUGAAGCCGGAAUGGGAACAGUGGUAGGCAGGCGGUUUGACUGGGGCGGUCGCCUCCUAAAGAGUAACGGAGGUGCGCGAAGGUCUCCUCACGUCGGUUGGAAAUCGACGCAGUGAGUGUAAAGGCACAAGGAGGCUUAACUGCAAGAGUGACAGCUCAAGCAGAUACGAAAGUAGGUCUUAGUGAUCUGGCGGUAGCGAGUGGAAGCGCCGUCACUUAACGGAUAAAAGGUACUCCGGGGAUAACAGGCUGAUUUUCCCCAAGAGUUCACAUCGACGGG